This 486-nucleotide ribosomal RNA is filed under the name uncultured Flavobacterium sp. RNAcentral describes it as "bacterial SSU rRNA". It matches the Rfam family "Bacterial small subunit ribosomal RNA", at positions 9 to 498 of the family's 1533-position model. The record is from RNAcentral. Lineage: Bacteria; Pseudomonadati; Bacteroidota; Flavobacteriia; Flavobacteriales; Flavobacteriaceae.
GAGUUUGAUCUUGGCUCAGGAUGAACGCUAGCGGCAGGCUUAACACAUGCAAGUCGAGGGGUAUAGGUUUUCGGACCUAGAGACCGGCGCACGGGUGCGUAACGCGUAUGCAAUCUACCUUUUACAGAGGGAUAGCCCAGAGAAAUUUGGAUUAAUACCUCAUAGUAUUAUUGAAUGGCAUCAUUUAAUAAUUAAAGUUCCAACGGUAAAGAUGAGCAUGCGUCCCAUUAGCUAGAUGGUAAGGUAACGGCUUACCAUGGCGACGAUGGGUAGGGGUCCUGAGAGGGAGAUCCCCCACACUGGUACUGAGACACGGACCAGACUCCUACGGGAGCAGCAGUGAGGAAUAUUGGUCAAUGGGCGCAAGCCUGAACCAGCCAUGCCGCGUGCAGGAUGACGGUCCUAUGGAUUGUAAACUGCUUUUGUACAGGAAGAAACAGUUCUACGUGUAGAACCUUGACGGUACUGUAAGAAUAAGGAUCGGCU